AUUGAACGCUGGCGGAAUGCUUUACACAUGCAAGUCGAACGGCAGCACGGACUUCGGUCUGGUGGCGAGUGGCGAACGGGUGAGUAAUACAUCGGAACGUGCCCAGUCGUGGGGAUAACGUAGCGAAAGCUACGCUAAUACCGCAUACGAUCUAAGGAUGAAUGCGGGGGAUCGCAAGACCUCGCGCGAUUGGAGCGGCCGAUGGCAGAUUAGGUAAUUGGGAGGGUAAAGGCCUACCAAGCCGACGAUCUGUAGCUGGUCUGAGAGGAUGAUCAGCCACACUGGGACUGAGACACGGCCCAGACUCCUACGGGAGGCAGCAGUGGGGAAUUUUGGACAAUGGGCGAAAGCCUGAUCCAGCCAUGCCGCGUGUGUGAAGAAGGUCUUCGGAUUGUAAAGCACUUUAAGUUGGGAGGAAGGGCAGUAAGCUAAUACCUUGCUGUUUUGACGUUACCGACAGAAUAAGCACCGGCUAACUCUGUGCCAGCAGCCGCAGUAA
This 499-nucleotide ribosomal RNA is filed under the name uncultured bacterium. RNAcentral describes it as "partial 16S ribosomal RNA". It matches the Rfam family "Bacterial small subunit ribosomal RNA", at positions 30 to 523 of the family's 1533-position model. The record is from RNAcentral.